AAUGGAAUUGCUGGGCUAUUGUAAAUAUAUACAUAACUUUUUAAGAAACUGUCAAACUGUUUUUCAAAGUGGAUGUACCAUUUAACGUUUCCACCAGCCAU
RNAcentral lists this microRNA precursor (101 nucleotides) under Marmota monax (woodchuck). The record is from RNAcentral. Lineage: Eukaryota; Metazoa; Chordata; Mammalia; Rodentia; Sciuridae.